This 421-nucleotide ribosomal RNA is filed under the name uncultured bacterium. Its description in RNAcentral is "partial 16S ribosomal RNA". It matches the Rfam family "Bacterial small subunit ribosomal RNA", at positions 360 to 774 of the family's 1533-position model. The record is from RNAcentral.
AAUUUUGGACAAUGGGGGAAACCCGAUCCAGCCCUCCCGCGUGGGUGAUGAAGGCCUUCUGGUUGUUAAGCACUUUUGACAGGGAAGAAAAAGCACCGGGUAAUAACCAGUGCCUAUGACGGUACCUGUAGAAGAAGCACCGGCCAACUACGCUGCAGCAGCCGCGGUAAUACGUAAGGUGCAAGCGGUAAUGCGAAUUAUUGGGGGUAAAGGGUACGGAGGCGGCUAGGGAAAGUGGAUGUGAAAACCCAGGGGUCCACCUUGGAACUGCAUUGUUAAAGGCCUAGGUAGAGUAUGUCAGGAGGGGGGAGAAUUCCACGUGUAGCAGUGAAAUGCGUAGAUAAGAGGAGGAAUACCAAUGGCGAAGGCAGCCCACUGGGAUAAUACUGACGCUCAGGUACGGAAACAUGGGGAGCAAACA